AGCGGAGGAAAAGAAACCAACAGGGAUUGCCUUAGUAGCGGCGAGUGAAGCGGCAAAAGCUCAAAUUUGAAAUCUGGCACUUUCAGUGUCCGAGUUGUAAUUUGAAGAAGGUAUCUUUGGGUCUGGCUCUUGUCUAUGUUUCUUGGAACAGAACGUCACAGAGGGUGAGAAUCCCGUGCGAUGAGAUGACCCAGACCUAUGUAAAGUUCCUUCGAAGAGUCGAGUUGUUUGGGAAUGCAGCUCUAAGUGGGUGGUAAAUUCCAUCUAAAGCUAAAUAUUGGCGAGAGACCGAUAGCGAACAAGUACAGUGAUGGAAAGAUGAAAAGAACUUUGAAAAGAGAGUGAAAAAGUACGUGAAAUUGUUGAAAGGGAAGGGCUUGAGAUCAGACUUGGUAUUUUGUAUGUUACUCUCUCGGGGGUGGCCUCUACAGUUUACCGGGCCAGCAUCAGUUUGGGCGGUAGGACAAUUGCAAAGAAAUGUGGCACUGCCUCGGUAGUGUGUUAUAGUCUUUGUCGAUACUGCCAGCCUAGA
Molecule: ribosomal RNA, 532 nt
Filed under: Lodderomyces orthopsilosis
Lineage: Eukaryota; Fungi; Ascomycota; Pichiomycetes; Serinales; Debaryomycetaceae
Description: Candida orthopsilosis partial large subunit ribosomal RNA
Rfam family: Eukaryotic large subunit ribosomal RNA
Source: RNAcentral